Molecule: non-coding RNA, 95 nt
Organism: Pelobates cultripes (western spadefoot toad)
Lineage: Eukaryota; Metazoa; Chordata; Amphibia; Anura; Pelobatidae
Source: the annotation of a GenBank genome assembly
UUGGGCAUAAAAGUUAAUUGUAGGUUUGGUUUCUUUUGUAAAAUUGGUGGUACAAAAGAAACCAAACCUACUUUUAAUUAUUUUAUGCCCAAUGC